This is a non-coding RNA of 359 nucleotides. It matches the Rfam family "Bacterial RNase P class A". Rfam says of the family: Ribonuclease P (RNase P) is a ubiquitous endoribonuclease, found in archaea, bacteria and eukarya as well as chloroplasts and mitochondria. Its best characterised activity is the generation of mature 5'-ends of tRNAs by cleaving the 5'-leader elements of precursor-tRNAs. Cellular RNase Ps are ribonucleoproteins. The record is from Rfam.
AGAGUCGACCAGAUGAUCGCUGCCGCGCAAGCGGGAGAGGAAAGUCCGGGCUCCACAGGACAGGGUGCCAGGUAACGCCUGGGCGGAGAGAUCCGACGGAAAGUGCCGCAGAAAAGAUACCGCCUAAGCCCCUCGGGGCCGGUAAGGGUGAAAUGGUGCGGUAAGAGCGCACCGCGCAGCUGGCAACAGUUGUGGCAUGGUAAACCCCACCCGGAGCAAGACCAAAUAGGAAAGCUUGCACUUGUUGCAGUCUGUGGUCCGCAGGCGCUUUCGGGUAGGUUGCUCGAGGGAUGUGGUGACGCAUCCCCUAGAUGAAUGAUUAUCCACGACAGAACCCGGCUUAACGGUCGGCUCUCACC